This 106-nucleotide non-coding RNA is filed under the name Thermosediminibacter oceani. RNAcentral describes it as "TPP sequence". It matches the Rfam family "TPP riboswitch aptamer (THI element)". Rfam says of the family: Vitamin B(1) in its active form thiamin pyrophosphate (TPP) is an essential coenzyme that is synthesised by coupling of pyrimidine and thiazole moieties in bacteria. The previously detected thiamin-regulatory element, thi box was extended, resulting in a new, highly conserved RNA secondary structure, the THI element, which is widely distributed in eubacteria and also occurs in some archaea. Lineage: Bacteria; Bacillati; Bacillota; Clostridia; Thermosediminibacterales; Thermosediminibacteraceae. RNAcentral also lists the same sequence under 1 other name. The record is from RNAcentral.
UGAACGUGCUGGGGGAGCUUCGGCUGAGAGGAAGCCCGAUGGCAGGGCUUCGACCCCAGAACCUGAACGGGGUAAUGCCCGCGUAGGGAAGCACGUGAAUCGCAUC